This 76-nucleotide transfer RNA is filed under the name Caudoviricetes sp. RNAcentral describes it as "tRNA-OTHER". It matches the Rfam family "tRNA". From Rfam's summary of the family: Transfer RNA (tRNA) molecules are approximately 80 nucleotides in length. Lineage: Duplodnaviria; Heunggongvirae; Uroviricota; Caudoviricetes. The record is from RNAcentral.
AGAGUCUUCGCUCAAAUGGUAGGGCGGGUUGAUAUAGAGAUCACCAGAUAGGGGUUCGAAUCCCCUAGACUCUCCA